Molecule: ribosomal RNA, 468 nt
Filed under: uncultured bacterium
Lineage: Bacteria
Description: partial 16S ribosomal RNA
Rfam family: Bacterial small subunit ribosomal RNA
Source: RNAcentral
GACGAACGCUGGCGGCGUGCUUAACACAUGCAAGUCGAACGGAAAGGCCCUGCUUUUGUGGGGUGCUCGAGUGGCGAACGGGUGAGUAACACGUGAGUAACCUGCCCUUGACUUUGGGAUAACUUCAGGAAACUGGGGCUAAUACCGGAUAGGAGCUCCUGCUGCAUGGCGGGGGUUGGAAAGUUUCGGCGGUUGGGGAUGGACUCGCGGCUUACCAGCUUGUUGGUGGGGUAGUGGCUUACCAAGGCUUUGACGGGUAGCCGGCCUGAGAGGGUGACCGGCCACAUUGGGACUGAGAUACGGCCCAGACUCCUACGGGAGGCAGCAGUGGGGAAUAUUGCACAAUGGGCGGAAGCCUGAUGCAGCAACGCCGCGUGCGGGAUGACGGCCUUCGGGUUGUAAACCGCUUUCGCCUGUGACGAAGCGUGAGUGACGGUAAUGGGUAAAGAAGCACCGGCUAACUACGUG